Molecule: ribosomal RNA, 274 nt
Filed under: uncultured bacterium
Lineage: Bacteria
Description: partial 16S ribosomal RNA
Rfam family: Bacterial small subunit ribosomal RNA
Source: RNAcentral
AUACGGAGGGUGCAAGCGUUAUCCGGAUUCAUUGGGAUUAAAGGGUGCGCAGGCGGAAUGAUAAGUCAGUGGUGAAAUCCUACAGCUUAACUGUAGAACUGCCAUUGAUACUGUCAUUCUUGAGUACACUUGAAGUGGGCGGAAUGUAUCAUGUAGCGGUGAAAUGCAUAGAUAUGAUACAGAACUCCGAUAGCGAAGGCAGCUCACUAAAUUGUAACUGACGCUCAGGCACGAAAGCGUGGGGAGCAAACAGGAUUAGAAACCCCAGUAGUCC